Molecule: ribosomal RNA, 756 nt
Filed under: Angulomyces argentinensis
Lineage: Eukaryota; Fungi; Chytridiomycota; Chytridiomycetes; Rhizophydiales; Angulomycetaceae
Description: bacterial SSU rRNA
Rfam family: Eukaryotic small subunit ribosomal RNA
Source: RNAcentral
GCAAUUUAUACUGUGAAACUGCGAAUGGCUCAUUAAAUCAGUUAUAAUUUAUUUGAUAAUACCUUACUACUUGGAUAACCGUGGUAAUUCUAGUGCUAAUACAUGCUUUAAACCCCGACUUCUGGAAGGGGCGUAUUUAUUAAAUAAAAAACCAAUCGCUUCGGCGUUUACUGGUGAAUCAUGAUAACUAUUCGAAUCGCAUAGCUUUGCUGGCGAUGGUUCAAUCAAAUUUCUGCCCUAUCACCUUUCGAUGGUAGUAUAGAGGACUACCAUGGGUACAACGGGUAACGGAGAAUUAGGGUUCGAUUCCGGAGAGGGAGCCUGAGAAACGGCUACCACAUCCAAGGAAGGCAGCAGGCGCGCAAAUUACCCAAUCCCGAUACGGGGAGGUAGUGACAAUAAAUAACAAUCCAGAGCUCUUCGAGUUUUGGAAUUGUAAUGAGGACAAUUUAAACCUCUUAACGAGAACCAAUUGGAGGGCAAGUCUGGUGCCAGCAGCCGCGGUAAUUCCAGCUCCAAUAGCGUAUAUUAAAGUUGUUGCAGYUAAAACGCUCGUAGUUGAACUUUGGGCCCGGUUGGGKGGYCUUUGCUUUGCAUUGCACUUUCUGACUGGGYCUUUCCUUCUGGCGAGCCAGUGUGCUAUUUAUUUAGUGCGCUGGGGAACCAGGACUUUUACUUUGAAAAAAUUAGKAGUGUUUAAAGCAGGCUUACGCUUGGAAUACAUUAKCAUGGRAAUAAUAAAAWAGGACUUUUGGG